UGCCUUUUUAGUAUAACAAGUAUAUUUGGCUUCCAACCAGAAGGUCUAGAAUCCUUCUAGAAAAGGCA
RNAcentral lists this transfer RNA (68 nucleotides) under Penaeus semisulcatus. RNAcentral's name for it is "tRNA-Gly". It matches the Rfam family "tRNA". From Rfam's summary of the family: Transfer RNA (tRNA) molecules are approximately 80 nucleotides in length. Their secondary structure includes four short double-helical elements and three loops (D, anti-codon, and T loops). Lineage: Eukaryota; Metazoa; Arthropoda; Malacostraca; Decapoda; Penaeidae. The record is from RNAcentral.